Molecule: long non-coding RNA, 429 nt
Organism: Xiphophorus couchianus (Monterrey platyfish)
Lineage: Eukaryota; Metazoa; Chordata; Actinopteri; Cyprinodontiformes; Poeciliidae
Exons: 3
Source: RefSeq, a predicted model, not a curated record
GACGUCAGCACACUGCUGUAACCAACGUUGCUGAAAUCUGGUUUGCAAGUUCGGUAGCUGAGCCGCUGUGCUAACACAUGGGAGUUUGGAUGGAGACCCAAGUUUCUGCUGGGAGAGUUGCAGGCUGCUGGAACCAACACAAUGCGGCUCCAUCAUCUGCCGCUUUGAGUCGGACAAGCUUUGUGCACCCUGCGCUACCUGUUUUCCUCAUGCCUCAGAAUCCCACUAUAAUACCCACGCCGGCAUGUUCCAAGCCUCCGGUCUGCCUGCUCAUUCCUAUCAACAGCUUCCCUUUUUCUAACCAACACAACCUCCGUGCUCUCCGGCUGGUCAGCCAGCAGUUCAUUCACCUCUCUCAGCCUCCAGUACCCUUCAGCCCUCCUGACAUCAUCCGUCUUCAACCUAUGCCAUAAUAAAUCUUUAAAAACA